AUCACAUCACGUUGAAAUACCAGUUCUCGUCCGAUCAUGGAAGUUAAGCAAUGACGAGCCUCGUCAGUUCCUAGAUGGGUGACCGCCUGGGAAUACCAGGUG
Molecule: non-coding RNA, 102 nt
Organism: Acanthosepion pharaonis
Lineage: Eukaryota; Metazoa; Mollusca; Cephalopoda; Sepiida; Sepiidae
Source: the annotation of a GenBank genome assembly